Molecule: long non-coding RNA, 239 nt
Organism: Perognathus longimembris pacificus (Pacific pocket mouse)
Lineage: Eukaryota; Metazoa; Chordata; Mammalia; Rodentia; Heteromyidae
Exons: 3
Source: RefSeq, a predicted model, not a curated record
CUUUCAGUUUGUGAUGAGGCCCAUUGGACUGGAAUUGUUGCCCAGAACCUUUGAGCCAACCACACUUCUCCCUGGAAAGGAGUUCUCUUUGGAGCAAUGGAACAUCAUUUUCAUUGAGGACUUCUGAAAUUUGGAGCUCAGGUUAUAAUGAUCAAGCAAAAGCCUGUGAGAACUAUCUAAGGUAUUUUGGUCACAGCCACACAAAAGUAACUAAAACAUUCUGAAGAAAAGGAAAAGAU